This 1168-nucleotide long non-coding RNA is filed under the name Gossypium raimondii (Peruvian cotton). Its description in RNAcentral is "long non-coding RNA (GRAI_LNC000116)". The record is from RNAcentral. Lineage: Eukaryota; Viridiplantae; Streptophyta; Magnoliopsida; Malvales; Malvaceae.
GGACUCAAAGUGUAAAUAAACCUAAGCUACAGUGAUAACUAACUUAACUAACACUAAGAACACUAAGAACAAGAAGUAGAUGCAGAAAAAUAAACUCUAAAACUAAGAAAAAAUAAGAGAAAAUAAAAACCCUAGAAAAGUUGUAAAAAAACUAAAAGAAAACCUAGAGAAACUAAAGCUAAAAACUAAACCAAUGUAUGUCUCUUCCCUCCUCAGCCAAAAUUGGUUGUUUUAUGCUGAAUGUUGAUGAAUUUUCGUUGCUAAAACUACCCCUAUACGAGCCUUGGGUGAUUGGUGGACCGGGUGGACAAAGACUACCUUUUUGUCCAAUUUUGUCUCCCUCACGAUGUCGGUGUUGCGAUACCCAAAAGAGGAUAUCGCGAUACCUUAGGCAGUUUUGAACCUUGGGGUCUUAUUUAAGGGGUGGAUAUCACGAUACCCAAAGUGGGUAUUGCGAUACGACUGAAUGGUGGCCUCUAAUCUUUCAUCCUGUUGGAGGUAUCGCAAUUCCAAGAUAUGAAUAUCGUGAUACCCUUUCUUCUGGUGUCGUUUUUGCUGGUUUUCAACCUUCAACGCAUCCCUACACCAUUCAACCACAUGUUAGGCCUCCCAAUGACACCAUUGGCUAAAUUGAGUUACAAAAUGAGUAAAAAUGAGAAAUUUACACUUAUAAACUUAAAAUCUAAUGAUUACGAAAAACUAUGAAAAAUACGCUAUUUUGCUCGAAAAUAAGUUCCUUAAGUAUACCAGGAAAGCCUAAUUUGCCAUAUCAAAUUAUGCCAGAUUAUUAGGCAUACUCUUUCUUGAGUGUAUUAUUCCUUCACUUGAAGAUACCCUAUAAUUAAAUCCUUAGAUAUUGCUAAUGGGCGAAUACUUUAAUACUAGUAUGCGUCAAUACUCUAACCUGCCAACAAGCUAGGAGCGUGACGAAUCAUGCUACCCUAGUGCACCAAAUAGUAAACAUGCAUACCUCAUUCGCCUUGUUGGAUUCGCCAUUUUUGGGGUUUGACACGCACCCACGCCCAAAACAUACCAAACACGUCCAUCACACACAAGUCGUACACUAUCGCAGCUCCACACCCAUCCCUUGCAAUCCACUUGCAAUCGAGACCACCACACCCAACUGACACCCUUUUACCCUAUACACUAGAAAAGAGUUACCGCUUCU